GCAUUGGUGGUUCAGUGGUAGCAUUCUCCCCUCCCACGCGGGAGACCCGAGUUCGAUUCCCGGCCAAUGCA
This is a non-coding RNA of Elephantulus edwardii (Cape elephant shrew), 71 nucleotides long. NCBI's taxonomy places the organism in Eukaryota, Metazoa, Chordata, Mammalia, Macroscelidea, Macroscelididae. The record is from the annotation of a RefSeq genome assembly.